UACGAAAGGGGGCUAGCGUUGCUCGGAAUUACUGGGCGUAAAGCGCACGUAGGCGGUCUUUUAAGUCGGGGGUGAAAUCCUGGAGCUCAACUCCAGAACUGCCUUCGAUACUGGAAGACUCGAGUCCGGGAGAGGUGAGUGGAACUGCGAGUGUAGAGGUGAAAUUCGUAGAUAUUCGCAAGAACACCAGUGGCGAAGGCGGCUCACUGGCCCGGUACUGACGCUGAGGUGCGAAAGCGUGGGGAGCAAACAGG
This 254-nucleotide ribosomal RNA is filed under the name uncultured bacterium. Its description in RNAcentral is "partial 16S ribosomal RNA". It matches the Rfam family "Bacterial small subunit ribosomal RNA", at positions 524 to 776 of the family's 1533-position model. The record is from RNAcentral.